This 250-nucleotide ribosomal RNA is filed under the name uncultured prokaryote. Its description in RNAcentral is "partial 16S ribosomal RNA". It matches the Rfam family "Bacterial small subunit ribosomal RNA", at positions 524 to 773 of the family's 1533-position model. The record is from RNAcentral.
UACGUAGGGAGCGAGCGUUGUCCGGAAUUACUGGGUGUAAAGGGAGCGCAGGCGGGAUUCCAAGUCAGGUGUGAAAUGCAGGGGCUCAACCCCUGAGCUGCACUUGAAACUGUAGUUCUUGAGUGAAGUAGAGGUAAGCGGAAUUCCUAGUGUAGCGGUGAAAUGCGUAGAUAUUAGGAGGAACAUCGGUGGCGAAGGCGGCUUGCUGGGCUUUUACUGACGCUGAGGCUCGAAAGCGUGGGGAGCAAAC